UAAACGAUAAACCACGAAAAAUCUUACUUAUUUUAAAUAAUUUGUAUACCAUCAUUAUUAGAUAAAUUUUUAAGAAAAAUUUAUUUUAAUUAAUUUUAUUAAAUAUAUUAGAUCAAGGUGCAAUUCAUAAAUAAGAAUAAAUGGGUUACAAUAAAAUUUUAUUUACUAUAGACCUUAUAAAUAAUAUUAUUUUCGAAAGAGGAUUUAAUUGUAAUUUUAUUUUAAAAAGAUAAAAUGAUAUUUGCACUAAAAUAUGUACAUAUCGCCCGUCGCUCGCGGGAAAA
This 284-nucleotide ribosomal RNA is filed under the name Sympagurus acinops. Its description in RNAcentral is "partial 12S ribosomal RNA". Lineage: Eukaryota; Metazoa; Arthropoda; Malacostraca; Decapoda; Parapaguridae. The record is from RNAcentral.